Molecule: ribosomal RNA, 514 nt
Filed under: uncultured Bacillota bacterium
Lineage: Bacteria; Bacillati; Bacillota
Description: bacterial SSU rRNA
Rfam family: Bacterial small subunit ribosomal RNA
Source: RNAcentral
CGAACGCCGCGUGAGCGAAGAAGGUUUUCGGAUCGUAAAGCUCUGUUGUGAGGGAAGAACAAGUACGGGAGUAACUGUCCGUACCUUGACGGUACCUCAUUAGAAAGCCACGGCUAACUACGUGCCAGCAGCCGCGGUAAUACGUAGGUGGCAAGCGUUGUCCGGAAUUAUUGGGCGUAAAGCGCGCGCAGGCGGUCCUUUAAGUCUGAUGUGAAAGCCCAUGGCUCAACCGUGGAAGGUCAUUGGAAACUGGAGGACUUGAGUACAGAAGAGGAAAGCGGAAUUCCACGUGUAGCGGUGAAAUGCGUAGAGAUGUGGAGGAACACCAGUGGCGAAGGCGGCUUUCUGGUCUGUAACUGACGCUGAGGCGCGAAAGCGUGGGGAGCAAACAGGAUUAGAUACCCUGGUAGUCCACGCCGUAAACGAUGAGUGCUAAGUGUUAGGGGGUUUCCGCCCCUUAGUGCUGCAGCUAACGCAUUAAGCACUCCGCCUGGGGAGUACGGCCGCAAGGCUG